UCAAGUCUUGGAGGACUACUUCCCUGAUCGU
RNAcentral lists this non-coding RNA (31 nucleotides) under Mus musculus (house mouse). The record is from RNAcentral. Lineage: Eukaryota; Metazoa; Chordata; Mammalia; Rodentia; Muridae.